UACAGAGGUGGCGAGCGUUGUUCGGAUUUACUGGGCGUAAAGGGUGCGUAGGCGGUUCUGUGUGUCGGAUGUGAAAUCUCGCUGAAAACGGCGAAACGGCAUUCGAAACUACAGGGCUAGAGUGCAGGAGAGGAUGGCGGAAUUCUCGGUGUAGCGGUGAAAUGCGUUGAUAUCGAGAGGAACGCCGGUGACGAAGGUGGCCAUCUGGACUGCAACUGACGCUGAGGCACGAAAGCUAGGGGAGCAAACA
Molecule: ribosomal RNA, 250 nt
Filed under: uncultured bacterium
Lineage: Bacteria
Description: partial 16S ribosomal RNA
Rfam family: Bacterial small subunit ribosomal RNA
Source: RNAcentral